GUUUUCUAGACAUCAUAAUGGCAACAUCCACACAACGUCAAAUUAAAACAUCAUUUGAUGUUGAUCUGUAGUUAGUUUUAGGUUGUGGCAUUAACUAACCAAAAUCCAACGUCGAGCCAACGUCUCAAGCCAACGUCAGAUUGACAUCAAAAACUGAUACUUAGUCGUCAGGUAUGGCAACCAAAAUCCAAUGUCUUCAAGACGUCAUAAUGGUAACGUCCAAUCAACGUCAAAUUAUAACGUCAUUUGACUUUGAUCUUUAGUUAGUUUUAGGUUGUGGCAUUAACUAACCAAAAUCCAACGUUGAGCCAACGUCUCAAGCCAACGUCACACUGACAUCAAAUACUGAUGUUUUGUCGUCAGGUAUGGCAACCAAAAUCCAACAUCUUGUAGACGUCAUUAUGGUAACGUCCGAUCAACGUCAAGUUAUAACAUCAUUUGAUGUUGAUCUGUAGUUAGUUUUAGGUUGUGGCAUUAACUAACCAAAAUCCAACAUCAAGACAACGUCUCAAGCCAACGUCAGAUUGACAUCAAAUACUGAUGUUUAGUCGUCAGGUAUGGCAACCAAAAUCCAAUGUCUUCAAGACGUCAUAAUGGUAACGUCCAAUCAACGUCAAAUUAUAACGUCAUUUGACUUUGAUCUUUAGUUUGUUUUUAGGUUGUGACAUUAACUAACCUAAACCCAACGUCGAGCCAACGUCUCAGGCCAACGUCAGAUUGACAUCAAAAACGUAUGUUUUGUCGUCAGGUAUGGCAACCAAAAUCCAACAUCUUGUAGACGUCAUAAUGGUAACGUCCAAUCAACGUCAAAUUAUAACGUCAUUUGACUUUGAUCUUUAGUUUGUUUUUUUAG
Long non-coding RNA from Cyprinus carpio carpio, 853 nucleotides. Lineage: Eukaryota; Metazoa; Chordata; Actinopteri; Cypriniformes; Cyprinidae. The record is from Ensembl.